UGAAACCUAUAUAAACCCAGUUUGAUAAUGAAUCUAAUCAUAAGCACUAAAUCACACACAACUCAAUCAACAGACAUAAUAGAUUGAUCAAGAAGAUUUGAAAUGGGAGACGAAUGCCAAGGUAAGAACUCAUGGCCUGAAUUAGUUGGGUUUGAUGGGCAGACUGCAGCAGCCAGGAUCGAGUCAGAGAAUCCUAACGUCAAUGCUAUUGUUGUUCAGGAAGGAUUUAAUGUAACCACAGACUAUAGGUGCGACAGGGUUUGGGUCUGGGUUAGUAAGGCUGGAAAAGUGACAGAAACACCCAUCAUUGGCUAGAUUGUAUAGUUUGAUUACUUGAUGCAUGAAUCACGUAAACUCUACUGCAUCCAUGUACGUGAUCGUAAUAAGUUGUUAUCAUAUCAUUACUAAUAAGUUGUGUGUCCCCCUAAACAAAUUACUAUCCAAUAAAGCUUGAGUUUAUUAAA
Molecule: long non-coding RNA, 464 nt
Organism: Papaver somniferum (opium poppy)
Lineage: Eukaryota; Viridiplantae; Streptophyta; Magnoliopsida; Ranunculales; Papaveraceae
Exons: 2
Source: RefSeq, a predicted model, not a curated record